AGUCACGGUUAUUCUAGACCAAUUCCCUUCUUCUUCCCAAGUUCACAUCUACCUUUGCCUCAUGCCCCACCCCCUCUUGUGCUCCCCAGGGUGGAGGAUGGGCAGACCCCACUGCUCUCAGCCUCCUUAAAAACACUCCCUUCCUGCAGAAAGGUUCUCUAUGCAGAUAAAAUCAGCCUCAGACCACAAGUGCAGACACACCAUCUUUCUGACAAGGUCAGUGGCAUGUCUGCUGAGACCCUCACCACUCUUGCCAGGAUUUACCUCCUAGGAUUACUCUUCUCCAUUCUCUCAGGGUCCUGGGCCCAGGUGAAGCUUUUGGAGUCAGGAGGCAAGGUGACACAUGAGGGCCAGUCCGUGACCCUGACCUGCAAGGCUUCUGGCUUUAACUUCAAGGAUUAUGCUAUGUCUUGGCACUGGAACCCAAGUGGGAGCAACAGGCAAUUUGUGGCCAGUAUCAGCCCCAAAACUGGCAGUAAAAGAGAGUAUAAGCCCAGCAUCCAGGGCAGGGCUUUGAUCACCAGGAAUAACGAAGCCAACACUGUCUCCCUGACCCUGCGCCAGCUACGAAAGGAAGACUCAGGCAUAUACUACUGUGCCAAACUCACUGUGCUAGGGCUUAGGCAGACACCUUGACAUAAACUUGGCACCCACAGGGGGAUUAGAGCCCCCAGAAUGGUACUGCACUAUGUUGUGUUUUCUUUCUCUCUCUCUCUGUAGAGAAGGAAAGAGAGGAAUAGGUUCUCCCUAUGUGUUUUUGUGGGUGUACGGAGAAGAAAAGAGAAUGACUUUAUAUGUGUGGAUGUGUUAAAUAAGAGGCAGUCUCUCCACUGUUCCUCCACAUUCUUGACUCCAGCCAUUUCUUCAAUUGAGGGCCUCUUCCACUCUUCCUCAGCGUGCCAGUAACUCCCUCCCCACAUUGGGGCCAAGACUUUAGGCCUGAUUCCUGGGGGAACAACCAGAGAUUGGGAGCAGAGAGGAUUCUGUCUGAAAUCCUGCCCUGAGGGCAUAUCCUCUAUGCUAUGCAUUCGUUCCUCAGAUUGGUUCCACCAUGGGAACAGAAGGAACAAGCCCUGGCUCCAUUCAUAGCCAGGGGAGGCAGAUAAGGAACUAACCAACUGCUCCAGGGAAGCUCAACGUCUCAGCUUCAAAGGAAUCUAGAAAGAAUCGAUUGGCCCCUGAACUCAGAAAGCCUUUCCUACAUUAUUACCCUAUGAAGGAGGAGGUACAAGUGCAAAUUAUGCCCAUUUUACACACGAGAAAACUGAGGUUCAUAUAAGAAAAGAGAUCUGCUUGGAAUUACCAGGCUUAAGUAGUAGAAACUUUAGUCUGCUUUCCUCUGCUUCUUCCACCAAACCUCUGGUCUCUUUGACCAGCUCUAGACAAUGCUUUGACCAUUUGCUGGCCUGCAAGAUCUCAGGAAUCCUCUCUGUUCAAGUUCCUUCAAACCUUUAAUUUGGAUCUGGUAGAGGGCAAGCCUCCAAAGGUGCUGUGGAGGACACAGACUUCUUUAAAUUUAUUUUGUAAUUUUGUCACUGUCAAGUCCCUUUUGGUCAUUGUGUUCCAGACCUUGGACAGUUCUAGAGCCCAGCAGGCUGAAAAUACUCAGAAGGAGGGGAAUAUAUAUAGCAAGGAGUAGUACAAUGAAGCAUCAAACAUGACCCUUGUACAUGUGCUUCUCUAGGGCACCUAGGUCUCCCAGGGCUCUUCUGUCCAUCUUCUGCUUCCCUGCCAAGGACUUUCACAUUCUUCAUGUGCCAUAUGAUUAGGGCCAACCAUUAAAUAGCAUCAUUGAAAAUUGCUCCUUCUCAGGCUUUCUUUGAUUUUGGAAAGUAGUAGUAUGGAAGAAGUAGGUGCCCUCUUCAGAUUAUUGGUAGCAGUUGCUGCCUUCUUG
Molecule: non-coding RNA, 1894 nt
Organism: Monodelphis domestica (gray short-tailed opossum)
Lineage: Eukaryota; Metazoa; Chordata; Mammalia; Didelphimorphia; Didelphidae
Source: the annotation of a RefSeq genome assembly